This 472-nucleotide ribosomal RNA is filed under the name uncultured bacterium. RNAcentral describes it as "SSU rRNA". It matches the Rfam family "Bacterial small subunit ribosomal RNA", at positions 26 to 518 of the family's 1533-position model. The record is from RNAcentral.
AGGACGAACGCUGGCGGCGUGCCUAACACAUGCAAGUCGAACGGGAAAGUGGAGCAAUCCAUGAGUAUAGUGGCGACCGGGUGAGUAACACGUGACUAACCUACCUUCAAGUGGGGGGAUAACCUCGGGAAACCGGGGCUAAUACCGCAUAAUAUCUUUGUGCUGAGAAAGCAGAGAUCAAAGGAGUAAUUCGCUGGAAGAGGGGGUCGCGGCUGAUUAGCUAGUUGGUGGGGUAACGGCCCACCAAGGCUUUGAUCGGUAGCCGGCCUGAGAGGGCGCACGGCCACACUGGAACUGAAACACGGUCCAGACUCCUACGGGAGGCAGCAGUGGGGAAUUUUGCGCAAUGGGGGAAACCCUGACGCAGCAACGCCGCGUGGAGGAUGAAGUCCCUUGGGACGUAAACUCCUUUCGACCGGGAGAUUAUGACGGUACGGUGGAAGAGCCCGGCUAACUUCGCGCCAGCAGCCGC